This is a long non-coding RNA of Protopterus annectens (West African lungfish), 2112 nucleotides long. RefSeq lists it as uncharacterized. The transcript has 2 exons. The record is from RefSeq and is a predicted model, not a curated record. NCBI's taxonomy places the organism in Eukaryota, Metazoa, Chordata, Ceratodontiformes, Protopteridae.
UUUUAAACUGUUAGUGUUUCUGCACCAUUUUGUUUUCCUCUUCCUACUAGUCUGUGGCGUGCAGGUCCCUAAUAUUAGUGAUGUAAACCACUUUUCGCUUGUACUCAGCAUUUAUUUUACCUGGAAGAGUUUUGUAUGCUGUUGCAACUUAUUUGUGGGACUUUGGUUCCACUUCUAUUCCUUAUGACUCCUGGUGGGUGAGAAGUCAAAACUCCAUCAAUAUAUCAAGAGUAUAGAUGGAUAAUAAAGACAGAAAAGAGUUGCUUGUUGAAAUGCUGGCACUUGAAAUGCUAAAUGAAACACCCUGAAAAAAAGAUUGAAAGUACAGGACAAGAGUGAAUCUUGAACAUCACUAUUUUCCUUUAAGCUUCUUUUUUUUGCAGUGGGCAAGCUCCCCUGCAGCCCCUCUGAACUUAUAUGUACCAACUCCGAGAUCACCACACCUUAGGAAAAAUUGAAUAUUCUGGGAAACAGCCGUCUUGGACUAAUUGUAAAUAAGCCUUUUUUUUGCCAUUUAGCAUAUGUUUUGGGACUCACUCUAGUGGGUCCUGACAUUCAAAUGGUUACCCAGAAAAGUGAUUAUUUUCAAUCUUCUUUAUGUAUUAUGUAUUUUUGUUAAUAAAGCCUACCUCACUUGCUGUUGUUUAAUGAAUAAUUGCUUAUCAAGCACAUGUAAAAGUUCUAGAACACUUGGAUUGUUGAUGAGGACUCAAGAAUGUUAAAUAUGUAAAAUGGUAGGUGCAUUGGUAGUGUACUAUCCCAUGUUUCAUAGUUUCAGGGAGAGGUCUGUCUCUUCUUGGGGAGAGAGAUGUGAUGAUUAGACAUGCAUAGCUGCUUUAUGCUUGUAUAUGCAGUGAACAUGUAUAGUAGCAUUGCCACUUUAUGAAGUAAUAUAUUAGUACUGCCAUUUUAAGAAGCAUUGUAUCCCACAAUGCACUGAGUCUGGUUUGCCAGUUCCUAGUAAUUUUACUAUGAGUGAAGAAGCUGUUAACAUUGUGCUGCCAUUUUAUGUAAAUUAAAAUUGCUGCUUUACUUCAAGUGCUAGUGUAUCUCAACAUUAUUUAUGCUUCUUAUUAGAAUGAGUAGGUAUCCAAAGGUACAUAAUGUGACAAUUUAAAACUUUGAACUCUGUGGCAUGUUCAUAUGAUGUCAUGCGCCACCCUAAUAUGUCUACAAGAACAGAGCAGUUAGUACAAAACUGUGGCCUCUGUGAUAUGUUCAUAUGAUGUUAUGUGUCAGCCUAAUAUGACUGCAUGAACAAAGAAGUUAGUACAAAAGUAAACUCUGUAGUGUGCUCAUAUUAUUCUAUGUGUCAGCCUAUGACUGAAAGAGCAGAGCAAUUAUCACUAAACUGUGAAAUCUGUGGUGUGUUCAUAAUAUGUCAUAUGUUGGUAUGAUAUGACUUUACAGAUAUGGCAUUUAGCAAAAAACUGUGAACUCUGUGGUACAUUCACAUGAUGUCAUGCAUCGGCAUAAUAUGACUUUAUGAACAGAGUAGUUUGCUCAAAACUGUGAAGUUUGUUGAUUACAUUAUAUGUGUCAGCCUAAUAUGAAUGCAAUAGCAGAGCAGUUAGUACAAAACUGUGAAGUCUGCAACAUGUUUACAUGAUGUUGUGUCAGCCUAACAUGAAUGUAUCCGCAAAGAAAUCAGUACAAAUCUCUGAAUUCUGUGGUAUGUUCAUACAAUGUCAUGUGUUGGCCUGAUGUGACUGUAUGAUCAAAUGAGUUAGUAUAAAACUGUAAUGUCAGUAGUAUGUUCACUUGAUGUCAUUUGUGACAGCCUAACAUGACUAUAUGAAAGAGAACUAGUAUCAUAAUAUGAAAUCUAUGUUAUAUUCACAUGAUAUCAUGUGAUGGACCAAUAUGACUAUAGGAACAGAACAACUGGUACAAAGCUGUGAAAUAUGUGGUACACUCACAAUGCCCUGCAUUGGCCUAAUAUGACUGUAUGAACACAGCAGUUAAUACAGAACUCUAAAGUUUGUGGCAUGUUCAAGAAUUAAAUGCAGAAAGUGGAACACACUAUCCCAUGGCAUUGCUUCAUUACCUUCACUACAGUUUGGAGAUGAUUUGUUUCCCUGUGGAACCAUUGUAAAUAAAUAUAUUGCAUGA